This 392-nucleotide ribosomal RNA is filed under the name uncultured bacterium. Its description in RNAcentral is "bacterial SSU rRNA". It matches the Rfam family "Bacterial small subunit ribosomal RNA", at positions 29 to 419 of the family's 1533-position model. The record is from RNAcentral.
AUUGAACGCUGGCGGAAUGCUUUACACAUGCAAGUCGAGCGGCAGCGCGGGGGCAACCCUGGCGGCGAGCGGCGAACGGGUGAGUAAUACAUCGGAACGUGUCCUUAAGUGGGGGAUAGCUCGGCGAAAGCCGGAUUAAUACCGCAUAAGCUCUGAGGAGGAAAGCGGGGGCUCCGUAAGGACCUCGCGCUGUUGGAGCGGCCGAUGUCGGAUUAGCUAGUUGGUGGGGUAAAGGCCCACCAAGGCGACGAUCCGUAGCUGGUCUGAGAGGAUGAUCAGCCACACUGGAACUGAGACACGGUCCAGACUCCUACGGGAGGCAGCAGUGGGGAAUUUUGGACAAGUGGGGGCAACCCUGAUCCAGCCAUUCCGCGUGAGUGAAGAAGGCCUUC